This 493-nucleotide ribosomal RNA is filed under the name uncultured bacterium. RNAcentral describes it as "bacterial SSU rRNA". It matches the Rfam family "Bacterial small subunit ribosomal RNA", at positions 949 to 1445 of the family's 1533-position model. The record is from RNAcentral.
AUUCGAUGAUACGCGAGGAACCUUACCUGGGCUUAAAUGUCAGAUGUUAUCUUGUGAAAGCAGGAGUCUCUUCGGAGCAUUUGGCAAGGUGCUGCAUGGCUGUCGUCAGCUCGUGCCGUGAGGUGUUGGGUUAAGUCCCGCGACGAGCGCAACCCCUAUCAUUAGUUGCCAUCAGGUAAAGCUGGGGACUCUAAUGAAACUGCCUACGUAAGUAGAGAGGAAGGCGGGGACGACGUCAAGUCAUCAUGGCCCUUACGCCCAGGGCUACACACGUGCUACAAUGGUAAGUACAAUGAGAUGCCACUUGGUAACAAGGCGCAAACCUCAAAAAGCUUAUCUCAGUUCGGAUUGAGGUCUGCAACUCGACCUCAUGAAGCUGGAUUCGCUAGUAAUCGGAUAUCAGCAAUGAUCCGGUGAAUACGUUCCCGGGCCUUGUACACACCGCNNCGUCAAGCCAUGGAAGCUNGGAGAACCUGAAGUCGAUAACCGCAAG